CCUACGGGGGGCAGCAGUGAGGAAUAUUGGUCAAUGGGCGCGAGCCUGAACCAGCCAAGUAGCGUGAAGGAUGACUGCCCUACGGGUUGUAAACUUCUUUUAUAAAGGAAUAAAGUGAGGCACGUGUGCCUUUUUGUAUGUAUUUUAUGAAUAAGGAUCGGCUAACUCAGUGCCAGCAGCCGCGGUAAUACGGAGGAUCCGUGCGUUAUCCGGAUUUAUUGGGUUUAAAGGGAGCGUAGAUGGGUUGGUAAGUCAGUUGUGAAAGUUUGCUGCUCAACCGUAAAAUUGCAAUUGAUACUGGCAGCCUUGAGUACAGUAGAGGUAAGCGGAAUGCGUGGUGUAGCGGUGAAAUGCUUAGAUAUCACGAAGAACUCCGAUUGCGAAGGCAGCCUACUAAACUGCCACUGACAUUGAGGCUCGAAAGUGUGGGUAUCAAACAGGAUUAGAUACCCUUGUAGUC
Molecule: ribosomal RNA, 460 nt
Filed under: uncultured bacterium
Lineage: Bacteria
Description: partial 16S ribosomal RNA
Rfam family: Bacterial small subunit ribosomal RNA
Source: RNAcentral